This 6325-nucleotide long non-coding RNA is filed under the name Vitis vinifera (wine grape). Its description in RNAcentral is "long non-coding RNA (VVIN_LNC000650)". Lineage: Eukaryota; Viridiplantae; Streptophyta; Magnoliopsida; Vitales; Vitaceae. The record is from RNAcentral.
UAUCUUUUAUAAUCCAUUAAUCCAUCCCCAUGUAAAAAAAUCCAUGAAUUAAUAGGAAAAUAUGUUAGCUACUGAUUUAAUGCACCAUAAAAAUGUAACAUCGUAGCAGAGUUUUGCAUCCCUUUGGCAUAGGUUUCAGUUGUAGACUAUUUGUCUAUGUCACGCCUUUCAACUCAUGCGACAACUUCAGAAGAAAGAAAUGUUACCUGGAGGCUCUCACAAAGUUCCACAGAGCUCCAGGAGGACUCGUCCAAAGGUAUUUUCGGGUCAAAAUCAUCUCUUACCCUCGCAGCGGAAGAGGAUGAAGUCAGUACUACACGCCUUAGAGAUGGGUUCUUCUUACAUGAACGAAGAACAUUUAAUGUGCCUUCAACAGCAGGUACCAGGAUCUCUGCCUAUUGCCAGAGAAAUAGAAGUAAAAACAGUGCAAUUACCAUAAUCAAAUGGUGAAGGUUUGGGAGCUCAUUGCAUUAGCGUUUUUUUUCCCUUUUAAAAAUCAGAUCCCAUUGUAGAAAAGGGCUCAUCUCUCAGAUAGAUUGUUGGCCUGCCCAACUGGGAUUUUCAUUAAGGUAGCUAGCUCCCUCUGAUUAAUUGUUUUUCAGCCACCAUUUGCAGACAAAGCAGAGCAGUAAAGAGAGAAGAAGACUGUACUCAGUGUGGAUCAUAAUAUCACCAAAUAGAUUAAUUUAGGUUAUGUUUGAUUUGAAGAAAAAUAGAUUCAACAUCAAUAAAUUAUUUUUUAGUUAGUUGUAAUGUCACCUGGGCAAAGUCAAGGAAGAGUAAAAAUUUUCUCAAUUGGCUAAUUUUGGUGUGAUUGUGUGGUGGUUGGGAUAGUGGAAUCUACUAUGUAGACUCUAAAUGGCAACAUGUGGGGAUUUGGCUGGGGCAGCACCAAUAAAAGAAGAAAGAGAGGAGAAGAAAGCAACAAGCCUUUGGAUCAGCUCCAAUAAAAGAAGAAAGAGAGGAGAAGAAAGCAACAAACCUUUGGAUCAGCAGCAGAUCCCAUUACUGGUGAAGCAGUGUGGAAGACACCAUGGCACCCCAUAAUUGCCUUGUCAAAACUGCCCUCCUCCAUUAAAUCAGCCCUCACCAAUGUGAGCCUCUCCCUUGCUCCCUCCAGCCUCCACAGAUGUGCCAGCUUCUUGUCAUUUCCUGCUCAUAAUUCAUCAUCUUUUCUCUGUUAAGAAGGCAAGAAAACAAGCAAAAAAGCAGAAGUUACAUGCAAUAAUGAUCAGUGGGUGGUUUCUGUACCUGGAUCUCUAACUGUUCCAGUGACAUGAUACCCAGACAAGAGAAGCCUCUUAACCAGCCAAGAAGCCAGAAACCCAGAUGCCCCCGUUACACAGACGACCAUCUUUUGAUCCAUUAAUUUUCCUUGCUCAAGAAGAAGAAGAAGAAGAUAAGCUGCUGCACCUCUCCUCUCCUACACUUAGUCCAAUACAUAUAUAUAUAUAUCCACGGCUGUUUUAAAAUAUACAUGUUGGAGAAGGUAUGGCUGCACAUGAUAUCCUUGUGACUUUCUACAGGUGAAGGUUGGACUUACAGGUAGGAAAGGCAUCUUAAAAUGGUGCGUUCAUGCUCUUCUUUUUGUGACCUAUUAGUCUACUACCAAGUACCAAGAAGCAUCUACAGAACUUUCAACUACUACGUAUAUGACAAGAAACACUCUUUUUCUUAUUGUUCUCCUCCAUCUCUAAAAAAAAUUAUUUUCAUGUUCAAAAUCACGAGAGAAAACAUUAAUGGAGAUCACAUGAUUCCACAAAGAGCUCUCGCUGCUAACGAUCCCAUCUAGCUAACACAAAAAUAUAAAUGGCAAUGAAAAAUUUUAUUAUAAAAAGAUAGGUAAAAACAUAUUCAUACAUGUUAAAAAUAUAUAUAUAUAUAUAUAUAUAUAUAUAUCUUUAUUUUUCAUCUCAUAGGAACAGCAAAGUCUCUAUAGAAGAAAAGUGGUAUACUAUAAUUAUGUAAGGACACCUGAUGAGUGGCCUCUCGCUGACAGAAAAGUUGAAUAGUAACGUAUCUUCUCACCUAGAAGAUGUGUUGAUUUUUUCUUUUCAACCAAUCAAGUCAAGAUCACAGGUAUAGUUAUGUUAAGUAUAAUGGUCUCAGUACAAGAAAGGUUCUUUCUUUUCUAAUUGAAUUGGGAAGGAAAAAAAAAAAAGAUCAAAUCAAUCCUUUUGAUGCAGACUUAGCAUACUUUAGACCCCUAAAACGAAUUCACAUAAGUAAAAAUAAAAUUUUAGUACAUCAUAAAGUAUGUUUUAUCUUCUAAAUAUGAUAGUGAAUGUCUUAUCAAUACACAAAUGUAUAACUCCUUAGGAAUUUCAAUUGUUAUUUAUUACUGUAUGAAUUGGGUUCAAGCUUUCCCCAGCCCCUUCUCAUCAAUGGACUCCUAACAUAUAUGAAAAAGUGCGAUUCGUUUGAUAAAUUCCUACCUCUAUCUAUCUCGAAGAUGUUUGGAUUUUUCAAAACUCCAUGAAUAUGUAGAAGAUAAUUGAUCAUUUGAUAGUCAAAUUUUACUCAAAAUGUUAUAAAGUUCGGUUCCAAAAAUUAUUAUAAUUCAUUUUUCAAUCGCUUUUAUAGAUAUUUUGCUUUGUAAUCUCUUUUCAACGGGAAAAAAAAAAAAAACACUAUUAAUAAAGUAUUCAUGGGAUAGGUCUACAUCGAAGGAGGCCCUCAAAUAGAUAAAGUUGAAGAUAAGUGCAGGGGAUAUGACCCUUCACCUAACAAGAUUUCAAUGUCUCACAAAGGGACGGUUGGCCUAAAUUUGUUCAGCGCUAAUAAUCCACUUUUAAGGGUUUUUUUUCACAAUCACAUGUGUUUUAAAAAUAUAUAUAUAUUAAAGGAUGGUAAUUAUGAAUUUAUUUUUAAAAAUAAGAGAAGAAUUCUAGGUCAAGGCAAUAAAUUCAUGUCAUAAUCAUUUUUUUAAGACAUAAUUGCAGUACAAAUUCAUAAAUCAUGUAUAUAUUAAAAUUUUAUUUUGAAAAAACAAUUUUACCUCAUAAUUAAUCAUAUCAAAAUGAUCUUUUUAAAAAAUGAUUAUAAAUCUAUAACUAUGCUUAUACUAAAAAUCUUAUUUUGAAAAGAUGAUUUUACUUAAAAUAAAAAAAAUAAAAUAUAAAAUUUUGGAUCUCUGUUAUUAUAAAAUAGUUUUUUGAAAAGAUAAUUUUUGUAUGUAAAUUUUAAAAAAAUAUAUUAUAUUUUUAUAAAUAUUUUAUAAAUCAAACAUAUUUAUGACUCAAUUGACUUUUUUAUUUAAAAACAAAUUUAAAUGAGUCAAAUAUAGAUUACGUAGUUUAAAAUUAUAAUUAUGUUAAUCAACGUAUUAUUAAAUGGGUCAAUUCAGGUCAAAUUCGUGUUAUGUAGGUUGAACAAAAAACUACUUAUUUAUUAAAUGAGUUAUGCAGGUCAAUGCAAAUUUACCCUAAAUCCAAUUAUACUCAACCCAAACUAGCGAAAAACUUGAUGAGUUUGAGUCGUGUUGGUGAAUCAUAUUAAAUUAUGUCGCCCCUAAGUGCACUUAUGUGUACAGUUAUACAUUAGACAGAACCUACGGUAAAUCAUGACAUAAGGUUAUUGGACAGUUAUGACUUCACCAAUUUGUUAUGUCGUAUCGUCUCUCAACCUUGAGAGAAUAUCGAACUUGUGCAAAAAUUUGUAAUGGUUUUAACUAACGAGUGAGAUCUUAAAGUGAUCAUAUAUUACCUAUGGAUUGGAUCACUAUUGGUAAAAGUCGAUAACAACAGGUAUUCUCAAUAAAGGCGUUAUGAUAUUUCAUAAACUUUGAGAUAGUGUGUCUCCUUAGGUAAUCAUAAGGAAGUAUGUUCAAGUAAACCAUGUUCAUAAUAGUUUCUUAAGUGAAACUUGAUAUAAACUCUCUAUGAGUUAUAACAUGUUAGUUUAUCACACAAUAAGAGAAUUUGUAACUUAAGAAUGGUAGAGGUAAUAUUGAUCGAGAGGUUGAUAUCAUUCACCUUAUUAGAUUACAUAGCGGAUAAUAAGUCACAAAUUUGAGCACUCUCAAUGUUAUUUGCAUAGACUACUGGAAUGCAGUUGACUUUCUAUAUUGAAAUGUUAAAUCAACUUCAAAAUUGAAUUUUAAAAUAGCUAAUAUUGUCCUAUGGGUUCCAAUAGUCCAUGUUUGAACUCAUAUUCUUAUAUGACAUGGUUUAUGAGGGUUGCAUUGGUUUUUGGUGUCCUUAUGUGUGUUUAAAUAUGCAAGGUUGUAUAAGAAUUAGUAAACACUAUCUUUGGACUGAAUUAAUUAAUUAACUAGAACUAUAUUAGAUUAAUUAAUCAAUUAGGACUCAUUUUGGCUUAAUCGAAUAGCUCAAGCCCAAGGGAAGCCUAUAAAUACCCCUUUAAGAGUUAGACCUUCAUACUUUUGUCAUUCUCCCUUAUGUUCUAGAAUUAUAGUCAUGGUAAAAUAAUGGAUGUAAUGACCCAUGUCCAAUCGUUUAGAUGGUCUACUUUGAGUCUAAUAAGCUCUCAUGACUUUAAAACACGUCUACAAAAUUUAAAAUGUUAAAGAGCAUGAUAUUUAUUGUAAACCUAAAUCCUGCAAAUUUAAACUUUUAGAAAAAUUGUUAGUUUAACAUAGUAUCAGAAUUUCAUUUGAUGGGAGGUCAUGUGUUCAAGUCACCACUUAAUAAUUUGCAUAUUUGUUUCUUUAUUUGCAUAUUUGUAAGUUAAAAAAGGGCAAUUGUUUGCCUUCAAACCUAUAUCUCUCCAAGUACGAGUAUGGGGUCACACGUGAGAGAGAGUGUUUAAGAGGAUGAUAUACAUAAAUUGUUAGUUUAACAAAUAGGAGUUCAUACAUAUAUAACAACACAAGUUUAAAACGUGUUUAUAAGAUCAAGAGAAGUUUAUACAUAUAUAGUGCUUCGAUUUUUUUUCCCUAUAAGAUGUGAGAUAUAACAUUGAUGGAAAUGAUUAACAUUAACAUUUCUAAAUGUAGAAUAAUUAUCUCUUUUUGCUCUCUUUCUCACUGAAAGGUUGUUUAUACGCAAAUGAUGAUCUCAUCAAAUUAGACUUGACCCAAAUGGCCUUCCUCCACCAAAGAGGCAAUGCAGUCAUCAAACAUAUCCUGGAUGGACUUGAACUUGAACCCCAAGCUCUUCAACUUUGAAGUGUUGAACUCAACGUAUGGUAUGUCCAAGGCAUCAGACCUGAGAUUCCCAUACAGAUUAAUUGAAUAAAUAACCAAAUGGUGGUGUCCUCAGGAUGAUAAUGGUUUAUAGAAACUCACACAACCCCAAAAACCCCACAUAGAAUCCAGUUAUUUACAUCACAGAAUAUUGAUCGAUACAGAGACUGCUAACCUCUUUGGUAUAGGUAAGGAUGGAUAGCGAGCCGACAGCAAGGAGGUUAACUCAUUGUCGUCCAGCUCUGCAGAGCUACAAAGGUAUCGUCCAUGGGCGUCUUCGUGCUCAUAAACAAGGAUCGAUGUGGCAGAGUGCAACAUCAUCGAUGUGAACAUAUUCCAUCCUUCCAAACCAUCUGCAUUUCUCAGUCUCCCCUGUUUGUUCCAAUUCAGUCUUUCCAUUCCUAUGCUUAUGAACAUAUAUUAUCAUUAUGAGAAUAACAAGAGAAUAGACCAACUACCUUUAAGCAAGGCAAGGGUAUUAGAUGCAGUAGAGCAUAAAUCAGGUGGCAGGCCAGGUCCAACAACACAUGAGGGAACAAUAGUCACCAAAUCGAUUCCAUUCUCCUCGCAGAAUUCCCAUGCCGCCUUCUCAGCUAGGACUUUUGAUAGAGCAUACCAUAUCUUUUGUAAUGCAUUAAUCCAACCCCAUGUAAAAAAGACGACGAAUUAAUAGGAAAAGAUGUUAGCUACUGAUUUAAUGUAACAACAUAUGAAAUGCAGGUUUAUUUGUGUCCCAACUUCCUGAUUUCUUUCACCAAUGAGCUUGUCUGUAUCAGGCAACCCCACUGCACUUCCAUGGUGUAGAGUCUGCCUAAGUGAUUUAAGUGAAGUAACACAGGACUGGAGUAGGUUUGCUUCUCCUAGACUAUAUGUCUAUGUCACUCUUUUGAGCUUAAAGUAUAAGUCUAUAUAACUUGCUACAUAUACAGGGUUUACUGACAAAUAAUAUCAGAUGAGACAUACUUUCAGAAGAAAGAGAUGUUACCUGGAGGCGCUCACAAAAUUCCACAGAGCUCCAGGAUGACUCAUCCUGCAGAGGUAUUUUUGGGUCAAAAUCAUCUCUUGCCCUCACAGCUGAAGUGGAUGAGGUGAGUACUACACGCCUUAGAGACGGGUUCUUCUUACAUGAACGAAGCACAUUUAGUGUUCCUUCAACAGCAGGUACCAGGAUCUCUGCCU